UGGAUGAGUGGCGAACGGGUGAGUAUCACGUGAGUAACCUGCCCCUGACUUCGGGAUAAGCCUGGGAAACUGGGUCUAAUACCGGAUAUGACCAUCUUUCGCAUGUUGGGUGGUGGAAAGUUUUUCGGUUGGGGAUGGGCUCGCGGCCUAUCAGUUUGUUGGUGGGGUAAUGGCCUACCAAGACGACGACGGGUAGCCGGCCUGAGAGGGCGACCGGCCACACUGGGACUGAGACACGGCCCAG
Molecule: ribosomal RNA, 244 nt
Filed under: uncultured bacterium
Lineage: Bacteria
Description: partial 16S ribosomal RNA
Rfam family: Bacterial small subunit ribosomal RNA
Source: RNAcentral